ACAGAUGAUUUGUGUCAGUGCUCAGAUGCGUUAUCUACUUUAAGCCAACAUACGGAUAUUAUAAAAUUCAGUUUUGUGGGCCAAAUUUAUUUUAUAUGCCAACAUCUAUGAAAGAAAGAGCCAGGCCACGGAGCGCGAUGCGUCAUUUACGCACAGAUGGUUCCGAUUUUAAUGCCAUUUUUGGAGUUUAUGUUGUGAUCUGUGCGCUCAACACACCUUUGUCACGUGAGGUUUGAAUAUAUGCAACUUUAUGUGAGUGUCUUAAUUAGUGGAAAAGGUGUUUGUCUUACCACUGGGUCCAACAUUACACACACCAAAUUCAUCUGUGCUCGUAUGAGAGAGUGUGGAGGACGCCCAGUGCAGCGCUUACAGUGACACUUGUUGAGGAGCUGCCUUCUGUCGCCAUCGUGUGGCAUUACUGUCUUCAGACAUCUCUUGAUCUCUCUGACUACUUCACGAAAAUAGUAACAGGAUUUAAAGGCAAGGAGAGGAGCUUAUGUGAUUGGUGAAAACAGCUCUCGGCUGUGUUAAACCCACUCCACGCCCUCUCUCCUCCCUCACAAUGACUUACGCCGCUGGGAGGAGCUGAGUUAGGAAGGGGGGAUACUUACGCCGGGCUGCGCCGCUCACCAGAAUACCAAAUUGAGCUUGGGAACGCCUUGUCGGCGUGGCGGACCUGAAUUACGCCGCGCCUGUGGCACGUCUCCGGCUAGGCACGAAAAUAGAGCCCCCAGUGUCUAUAAAAAGGUGAUACCUUGUCUAAACUAGAUUAAGAUUGGCUGUGAUCUUCAUAAUGCUAGAAUAGUAUCAAAGAAGCUACAGGAAAACAAAAAAACAUUUUUUUUGUUUUUUCCCCCCACACUCCGAUGUUGCUGAUCUCCUGCUGGUCAACUCGCUGUGCCAUGUCCAGUGCAUAAGCAUUAUAGAUACUUGACUUUGAGCUGCAGUGUUGUGUAGGCUUGUAUUUCAGCCAAUUAGUGGAGGUUUCCUGUAUGCAAGCCCUCAUCUGACAAAUACAUAAUAUGUUAGACACCUCAAUGACUGACGCUGCCUAUUGGAGCUGACAUAUCAGUGCAGUGGCCAUCUGGGAUGGGUCCUUCAAGUGCAUUUAUGACUACUGUGGAAGGUAAGUGUGCCCAACUACUCUCAUCAUAUCUUCCCAAAUAUUUACCCUACUUCCACACAGUUUGGUUUGUUAAAAACAGCAGAGAUGCAGUUAUGGACUCCGUCAAGCACUUAAAGGUAAAAAAAUAUAUAUUUUUUUGAUCUGACUUGUGUAAGGUAAUCCUACAUGACCUGGUUUCAAUACAGCGGUUUUUGCAACCGUAGAGUGCAUCAAAUAUGGGCAUAGGGCUUGUUCUCUGCUGACUCCAAGGAGACCCAUCCAAUAUGGUGGUGAUGCUUGAUAAAACUCCAGCACGAAAUGAGGCAUCUACGUAUAUUAUGUCAUGUUCAUCUGAGAGCUGUACAUAUGUAGAAUAAAUCGACAACAAUCAAACUUGAAUUGAUUCAUCCAAUUGCUGUAAAGAUGGCUAAAAGGACAGAGAGCUCUGGGCUAUGGUUGGCCAGAGUGAAUCUGUCAGUUGGACAGGCAUUUUGUGGUUCUAUCAGAAGAACAUAGUCGUUGUGUUAGCUUGUGGGGAACUUUCUGAAAAAUAAAAUAUGACCGAAAUCAAAGUUAACUGACAGAUUUCGUCACGCAAAAUGACAAAAAUGAAUUACCUUUUUCUUUUCCCCUGGAAACAUUACCUGCUUACUUUUUUGUAGCUGGAGGGAUAUUAAUCAUAGCAAGGAAAGACCAGUCUUAUUUGAAAUAGGAGGAAGUCCUGAGUUGUUUUGAUAGAUAGUGGAGUAGAGUUAUGUGGCGGCGUUUUCAGCAACCUCCUUUCUGCUGAAGUUGCUCAUGCCCUAGGUGCAGGCCCGGAUUAAACCUUCUGUGGCCCCUGAGGCUAAGCAAACCUAAUGGCCCCCCUCUGUCCCGCGCGCGCAAAAAAUUGGCAGUUUUUAUUGGUCACAUUUUGUAAAUUACUGCAGUUAUGGGUGGUUAUUUAACAGUUCCACUAGCCACCACCUCUAGCCAAACCACUGGGUUAAUACAACUGUGUGUCUGAACUCAAUUCAACAAGAGGUAGUGAAAAAAGUCUUGAAGGAAAGCACAGAGGCUGGUGUACAGUUCACUUUUUUACUGUAGAAAACCUCAGGCAUUUUAAAUUACAAGUAUAUAGCAAGCAUUAUAAAUAAAAGUGCAAGGCAUGAUAUGAAGGCCUGUUAUGGUUAUACAAUUUGUUUUGUUUAAAGGAUUGCUACAUUGAUUUGAGAUUUUUAUUAUUUUUAUAUUUGCUAUUUGUGUUUUGAUCUUUAUUUUCAUAUUCUGUAGGGACUGAUAAAUGUCAGAGGUUUUGACACUGUGAUACUUGAAUAAAUGUUUUAUACCAUAUUUUGAAUUAAUUCAGACCUUUUGUGCAUUUAUUUUUGUCUUGUUACAUUUUUUCCAUUAUUCCAAUUUUGGGGAGCGUGGUAGCAAUUUGACUGACUUUCAGCCAUUUAAGGCCAUGAUGUGCUGUUUAUAUUUUAUUGCUUUUAUUACACAGUAGGUUGUAUCAUUUUUAUGUAUGAAACAUAAGCUUUUAGCUAAAUUUACUGUCUAUAUUUCAUUGUGCUGGGUGCAAAUCACAUGAGUUGAGACGUUUUCUUCAAGAAAUUUGCUACAUUUCAUAAUCUGAAUUCACUUUUGCGUACCGAUAACUAUUUCAGGUGUUAGGUAGAUGUAUUUAUGAUAUUUGAGAAAGAUUUUGUCUUGCCAGAAUCAACAUAGCAGUUUCUACAAGCAAAAACUGCAGCACCAUAUAAUCGCUUCUUGUGUUACUCACAUAUAUGUACAUUUCUGGCUGUUCUUUUGUCUCACCCUGUAGAGAAAGCCACUUGCUAAUACUAGUUCUGUAAGUUUCCCAACAUGUCCUUGUAAAGUCGAGAACGUCUUCACUCUGGACAGAUGAUAGAUGCAUAUAGCAUCGUUUCGUUCCUUUUUGAUGCACUUUUGAAGGCUGUUUUCUUUUUUUCCUGUUCUUUUCUUCCUCUUCGCUUGUCUCGCUGGUAGACGCGCUCGUCGCCAUGUUUGUGUAUUUCUGAUACUAUGGCAACGAGACUCGGCUCCUAUUGGUCCACGUGACAAAAAUCGCUUCACCCCUCUGCAUAUUCGAUUGCGCGUGUGCAAGUAUCACUGCGCCACAGAAAGGAAAUAGUUCAACACCGAAACACUGAUUACUAAAAAUCGACAGGAUGGCAUGAGUAGAUAUUUUUUUUUAGUACUAACUAUCAAUAGAGCUGUUUUAUGAAUCACAGUUUAUGUUUCCCCACUGAAGUGAAACGAGAUUCACUUUCUAGGCACUUUUUCCUCUAUCCCAAUACAGCCUAAUCCUCCUCACACCGGGCGCAGCUCAUCAGCGUCAUAGCGGCUUCUGCUCGGACUGAGUGGCCCCCCAUAGCCAAACGCCCUGAGGCCUCAGCCUCACUAUGCCUCAUGGUUAAUCCGGCUCUGCCUAGGUGUGUGUAAUAUGUUUACAAAGUGUUUACAGUAAGGAGGCACAUCUCUCCCUUAAGUGGUGAUCUGAUAUACACAUUGGUUACAAUAUGAUUAACUAAGGAUACAUUUUAAUACAUACCAAUUCAAUUUGAUUUGAUUUAAUGUCUAAAAGAAAUGAUGAAAGUCAUUUUGCACCAAUCACUGGCUACACUCACAUUUGUUCCCAGGUGCAUCUAUGAUCAUCAGUGACUGACAAUGGUUUUGGGAGCUUUCUCUUUUUGUGGUUUCUCCACAGUUGCCCACCAAAACAUAACAGUUAAUGGCGGUGUCCCAUUUUUCCACCAUGCAGCUGUUCCUGUUUAAAAAUUGAAUGAACUGACAGCCUCCAAAGAUAGGACAAGAGUAUAACACUUGUGAGCCGGUUACUUAGAAACUUAUUUAGCGAACUAAAGGGACAAAAAAUACAAUAUAUAUGAUUUAUGCACAUUCUAUGCCUCAGAAGGAUAAAUUACUCCUUGCUUUAAUAUUUUAAGUACAUGCAAGAGAGAGCAAAAGGUGUGACUAGACUAUGAUGAGCAGAUGACCUUAAAGAUGUCCGCCCAUUUUACCGAGGUGAUUUAGUUUUUUUACAGCCCUUUUUAAGUCCGACAACAUGCUAUUAAAAUGAAGAUUGUCAUUUAGAUCAAGCUCCCAGGUCUCAAUAGUAUACCCUAGCUAGCAUAUACCCUGUACAAUGUGUCAUAAAGCGAUGGUUAACAUCAUCCAGUGUCAUUAGUUAAUGGUCCUUUGAUCCAGCCCUUACCUCUAUGUGAUCACGUAAAUCACUGUGUCAUUUGCAAUCAAGGAGUCAGCAUGUCUGGAUCAAACACAGCUUGGAUCAAAGGCUUGAGACUGAGACGGGAUUAUUCAGGUGGGAAAGGUGUGACUGAAGAAUAUGAGGCCUUGAACCCGAGCCAAGGAGUAGGGUUUACUAUAUAAAACCAGUAGGUAUCAGAGGAAGCCGAUGCAGUCUUUAGCUCAUAGGCAGUAUAAAAAAUGUGUAACACUUUAUAAUAACUAUACACUAUUAAGCAUUGGUUAAGCAUAAUUUAAGCAUUAGUUAAUCCUUAAUUCCUCAUGAACUCAUUAUGAAUUCAUCAUUAGUGAUGCAUUACAAAGCAUUAGCAAAUACAGUUAUAAAUGCUCAACUAAUACAUUAUGAAGCAUUAGUUAAACAUUAGUGAAGUGCUUAAUUCAUCGUUAACUCAUCAUUUGUAAAUAAUUAGUUAUACAUUACUAAGCAUUAGUAAACGCAGUUAUAAACGUUUUAAACUCAAACCCAUUUAUAAUUACUUAAGCAGCAGUUGAACAUUAGUUAAUGCUUAAUCAUGAAUUCAUGAUCUGUAUAGCACUUAAUAAACCCACUUAUAAAUGUUUUGUUGCUCAUUGAUAACCUGAGUUGUUAAUACUUUAUAAAGGGUUAGCAACUGUGUAAGUAUAUGUUUUACAAACAUGUAUUCAUACUUAAUGAAUAACUUAUUAAUGCUUAUUAACGCAGUUACUACUCAUUAGUUUCCCAUUAGUUAAGUAUAUUCUGUGAGCCCAUCUAAAGGGAGAAGUAAAUAUGCUUUAUAAAGCAUUUAUAAAUGACACAGAAGCAAAGAUAUACAAAGUGUCAGUUUUAUUGGUCCCAAACAAUA
Molecule: non-coding RNA, 5202 nt
Organism: Xyrichtys novacula (pearly razorfish)
Lineage: Eukaryota; Metazoa; Chordata; Actinopteri; Labriformes; Labridae
Source: the annotation of a GenBank genome assembly